UCCCUGGUAGCUCAGUGGUAAAGAAUCUGCUUGCCAACGCAGGAGACUCAGGUUCGAUUCCUGGUCCGGGAA
This 72-nucleotide transfer RNA is filed under the name Ovis aries (sheep). It matches the Rfam family "tRNA". Rfam says of the family: Transfer RNA (tRNA) molecules are approximately 80 nucleotides in length. Their secondary structure includes four short double-helical elements and three loops (D, anti-codon, and T loops). The record is from Rfam by way of RNAcentral. Lineage: Eukaryota; Metazoa; Chordata; Mammalia; Artiodactyla; Bovidae.